This 1029-nucleotide unclassified non-coding RNA is filed under the name Leishmania donovani. RNAcentral's name for it is "gene:LdHU3.10.1280(CDS-product:histone_H3_putativ e)". Lineage: Eukaryota; Euglenozoa; Kinetoplastea; Trypanosomatida; Trypanosomatidae. The record is from RNAcentral.
CCUCCACAGCCGCCAUCGCCACCACCACCACCCACCCACCCGUCAACCUUCCCUCCACCCCACCCACUCCCGCACCACCAUGUCCCGCACCAAGGAGACCGCCCGCGCGAAGCGCACCAUCACGUCGAAGAAGAGCAAGAAGGCGCCGAGCGCGGCGUCCGGCGUGAAGAAGUCGCACCGCCGCUGGCGCCCGGGCACCUGCGCGAUCCGCGAGAUCCGCAAGUUCCAGAAGAGUACGAGCCUGCUGAUCCAGUGCGCGCCGUUCCAGCGCCUGGUGCGCGAGGUGUCGAGCGCGCAGAAGGAGGGUCUGCGCUUCCAGAGCAGCGCUAUCAUGGCGCUGCAGGAGGCGACGGAGGCGUACGUUGUGUCGCUGAUGGCGGACACGAACCUCGCCUGCAUCCACGCGAAGCGCGUGACGAUCCAGCCGAAGGACAUCCAGCUGGCGCUGCGCCUGCGCGGUGAGCGCCACUAAGCCCACACCCUCCCUCCUCUCUGUCUCUCUUAGAUCUCUUUCAAAGGUCGUGGUGGAGAUGAACAUCUCGGCUCAUCUCCUCCCGGAGAGGGAGAAGCACUGGGCCUCUGCACGCGGCAGCGGCACGCACACGCGCAGAUGUCUGCGUGUGUAAGGGGCGUGGCAGGCAGCGUGUGUGCCUCCACGCUGCCGCGCACGCCGUAUCAUAGAUGCACUUCUGUUUUUUAUUAUUUUAAAUGCGCCAUGCAAAGGGGGGAGGGGAAUAUGUUCUGCGUAAUGUGCGCGCACUCGAUCUCUGUGACCCGGCGAUGGCGUGCGUGAGAGAGGGCCGUGCGUGGGUGCGAUGGACGGCGUCGUCCUCACACUCCGUGCUGGCCGGCAGCUGAGGAGAGAGCGCAGAGGACGCAAAGGUAGCGAGCAAGGAGCGGCACGCCCACGCAGUGCGCGCGCGUAUAGGUGGAUGCCUCUCUGCGCGAUGCGUGCGUGUGCCUGUGCCGCGCAAGUAACGAAUGACGCGCCAGCGGUGCUGCUGCCGCUGCUUUCCGCCCACCUCAUCG